AACGAACGCUGGCGGCAUGCCUAACACAUGCAAGUCGAACGAGACCUUCGGGUCUAGUGGCGCACGGGUGCGUAACGCGUGGGAACUUGCCCUUAGGUUCGGAAUAACUCCCCGAAAGGGGUGCUCAUACCGGUUAAUGUCUUCGGACCAAAGAUUUAUCGCCUUUGGAUGGGCCCGCGUUGGAUUAGCCAGUUGGUAGUGUAAAAGCCUACCAAGGCGACGAUCCAUAGCUGGUCGGUGAGGAGGAUCAGCCGCGCUGGCACUGAGACACGGCCCAGACUCCGACGGGGGGGAGCAGUGGGGAAUAUUAGACGAGGGGCGAAAGCCUGGUCCAGCAGUGCCGCGUGAGUGAUGAAGGCCUUAGGGUUGUAAAGCUCUUUUACCCGGGAUGAUAAUGACAGUACCGGGAGAAUAAGCUCCGGCUAACUCCGUG
RNAcentral lists this ribosomal RNA (433 nucleotides) under uncultured bacterium. RNAcentral describes it as "partial 16S ribosomal RNA". It matches the Rfam family "Bacterial small subunit ribosomal RNA", at positions 29 to 507 of the family's 1533-position model. The record is from RNAcentral.